This 433-nucleotide ribosomal RNA is filed under the name uncultured bacterium. RNAcentral's name for it is "bacterial SSU rRNA". It matches the Rfam family "Bacterial small subunit ribosomal RNA", at positions 355 to 786 of the family's 1533-position model. The record is from RNAcentral.
UGAGGAAUAUUGGUCAAUGGGCGAGAGCCUGAACCAGCCAAGUCGCGUGAGGGAAGACGGUCCUACGGAUUGUAAACCUCUUUGUCGGGGAGCAAUAAGGCGUACGAGUACGCAGAUGCGAGUACCCGAAGAAAAAGCAUCGGCUAACUCCGUGCCAGCAGCCGCGGUAAUACGGAGGAUGCGAGCGUUAUCCGGAUUUAUUGGGUUUAAAGGGUGCGCAGGCGGAAAGUGCAAGUCAGCGGUCAAACGACGGGGCUCAACCCCGUCUCGCCGUUGAAACUGUCUUUCUAGAGUGAGCGAGAAGUGUGCGGAAUGCGUGGUGUAGCGGUGAAAUGCAUAGAUAUCACGCAGAACUCCGAUUGCGAAGGCAGCAUACCGGCGCUCAACUGACGCUCAUGCACGAAAGCGUGGGUAUCGAACAGGAUUAGAUACC